RNAcentral lists this unclassified non-coding RNA (337 nucleotides) under soil metagenome. RNAcentral describes it as "partial contains 5.8S ribosomal RNA, internal transcribed spacer 2, and large subunit ribosomal RNA". The stretch from base 1 to 120 matches the Rfam family "5.8S ribosomal RNA", at positions 35 to 154 of the family's 154-position model. The record is from RNAcentral.
GAUGAAGAGCGCAGCGAAAUGCGAUAAGUAGUGUGAAUUGCAGAAUUCAGUGAAUCAUCGAAUCUUUGAACGCACAUUGCGCCCCAUGGUAUUCCGUGGGGCAUGCCUGUUCGAGCGUCAUUUACCCCCUCAAGCUCCGCUUGGUGUUGGGCGUCUGUCCCGCUUCGCGCGCGGACUCGCCCCAAAGGUAUUGGCAGCGGUCGCGCCAGCUUCUCGCGCAGCACAUUGCGCUUCUCGAGGCACCGGUGGGCCCGCGUCCAUCAAGCUCACCCCCCCAGUUUGACCUCGGAUCAGGUAGGGAUACCCGCUGAACUUAAGCAUAUCAAUAAGCGGAGGA